This 486-nucleotide ribosomal RNA is filed under the name uncultured bacterium. RNAcentral's name for it is "partial 16S ribosomal RNA". It matches the Rfam family "Bacterial small subunit ribosomal RNA", at positions 28 to 523 of the family's 1533-position model. The record is from RNAcentral.
GACGAACGCUGGCGGCGUGCUUAACACAUGCAAGUCGAACGGUGAAGCUCCAAGCUUGCUUGGGGUGGAUCAGUGGCGAACGGGUGAGUAACACGUGAGCAACCUGCCCCAGACUCCGGAAUAAGCGCUGGAAACGGCGUCUAAUACUGGAUAUGAGAUCAGUCCGCAUGGGCAUGGUCUGGAAAGUUUUUCGGUCUGGGAUGGGCUCGCGGCCUAUCAGCUUGUUGGUGAGGUAAUGGCUCACCAAGGCGACGACGGGUAGCCGGCCUGAGAGGGCGACCGGCCACACUGGGACUGAGACACGGCCCAGACUCCUACGGGAGGCAGCAGUGGGGAAUAUUGCACAAUGGGCGAAAGCCUGAUGCAGCGACGCCGCGUGAGGGAUGACGGCCUUCGGGUUGUAAACCUCUUUCAGCAGGGAAGAAGCGAAAGUGACGGUACCUGCAGAAGAAGCACCGGCUAACUACGUGCCAGCCGCCGCCGUAA